RNAcentral lists this ribosomal RNA (468 nucleotides) under uncultured bacterium. Its description in RNAcentral is "partial 16S ribosomal RNA". It matches the Rfam family "Bacterial small subunit ribosomal RNA", at positions 28 to 507 of the family's 1533-position model. The record is from RNAcentral.
GACGAACGCUGGCGGCGUGCUUAACACAUGCAAGUCGAACGGAAAGGCCCUGCUUUUGUGGGGUGCUCGAGUGGCGAACGGGUGAGUAACACGUGAGUAACCUGCCCUUGACUUUGGGAUAACUUCAGGAAACUGGGGCUAAUACCGGAUAGGAGCUCCUGCUGCAUGGUGUGGGUUGGUAAGUUUCGGCGGUUGGGGAUUGACUCGCGGCUUAUCAGCUUGUUGGUGGGGUAGUGGCUUACCAAGGCCUUGACGGGUAGCCGGCCUGAGAGGGUGACCGGCCACAUUGGGACUGAGAUACGGCCCAGACUCCUACGGGAGGCAACAGUGGGGAAUAUUGCACAAUGGGCGGAAGCCUGAUGCAGCAACGCCGCGUGCGGGAUGACGGCCUUCGAGUUGUAAACCGCUUUCGCCUGUGACGAAGCGAGAGUGACGGUAAUGGGUAAAGAAGCACCGGCUAACUACGUG